Non-coding RNA from Meleagris gallopavo (turkey), 2270 nucleotides. The record is from RefSeq and is a predicted model, not a curated record. NCBI's taxonomy places the organism in Eukaryota, Metazoa, Chordata, Aves, Galliformes, Phasianidae.
UUUGAAAAGUAAAUCUCAAAGAACAUCAACAAAUGCUGUAAAAAAAAAGAGUGCAAAACAAGCAUGCUAUGGCUUUCACAGAUCCAGCACAUCACUUUGAAACAACAAAGCAGUCCCUUCACCCAAGGAAGGAAAUCUCUCCCCCUGGUCUAACUGAGCAGCAUUCAGGAAGCAGAAUCCUUCCUUCAGCUGUUCCCCAGUGACAGAAGAGGCUGUGACCUCCAGCAACUGAGUCAUUUUGCUUCCAUGAUAAGAAAUUGCUCUCUGAAAUGUUAGCACUGCUAAGUCAGAACUUUGCUCUUGGGUCUGAGAGAUCUGAUAAGAAGGACAGCAGUUGCCACACGCACUGCAAAUUGCUAACACCCAGGAAACAAGCUCACAGGACAGCCAAAUGCUGAGGGAAAAGCAAAAGAGAAGAUAGGAAGAAAAGCUCAAGCUGAGCAGCAAAAAGGCACAUCUACUAAAGGCGUGAGGAAUACAAGAGCAUGGGGCUGGCUAGGGAGCACCAGUAGCACAGGCCCUAUCUUGGUCUCAGAGCAAGCCUGGCUACAGGGAGAGUGGACAUCAUGUUCAUUAUCAUCUCCAUCAUCCUUAGUGUCUGACUCCAUUCUGUAAGCAGUCUCCUUAGUCAGAGUCCCAUGCUAUUGUCAACCCCACUGAAGAGUGCCUGCACAGGUGACUGCUUUGGUCUAAAGUGGAAAAAUGUGUGUUUAGAAAAAAUGACUUUUUAUGGACUUAAAAACCCCAAACAUUAUAUAUCUACUCACCCUUCUGGUCUUGCUAGAGAAACCUAGCAGGUUAUUUCUACAGACAUGUGAAAUGGGCAGCCAGCAAGACAGACACCAACCUGAAGCAAUCACUGUAAAAUCAGGAACUGAAAGAUCCUGUCAAGAUUUCAGGAGCUGCCAAGAAAGUUAAUCCUUCUCUGGAAAAAAAGGUACACUUCUCCAUUCUACAGCAGGCAGCAAAGGACUCCAAGUGGUUCCUACAGCAAAAAACACACAGGAAAUCUGCUCUUCCAACAACUGCAUAAUAAGAAACUGUGAUAUGAAUUUUGAGAAAAGUGAUGUAAUUGAAAAUAAAUCCAUCAGUGAUUAAUGCAUCAGUAGAUGUGAAUUUGCUAAUUACUACCAGAACAAAUGGAAACACAGUUCCAGACUCCUACAUCCACUGAGAAUUUUGCUAUUCAUGGUAUCACCAUGGGCUGAGACUUUGGGAAAGAGCUUCAGUUCUCCACCCCAGUUUUCCUACCACAUCUUAGUAAAGUUUCUUCUUUUCACCACCACUGGCUCAUUGCAACUAGGAGUUCUAGUACAUGCUAAGCUGUGUUAGAAAGCAACAACCAGGCAAACUCAAGAGAGGUACUUCUGAGAUGGGCUGAGCUGCCUGCUGAAGGUAUCUUUUUCAUUCUGAUUACUGCAGAGAGAGCUGGUAGCCUUUCAAAUCUUACGCAGCUAAUAGUGAAAAAGUCAACUAAUAUUGGAGAAGAAUUCCAGUUCUAACACCUCUGAGCCACCAUCUGGGAAGAGGAGGAUCAUGCUUCCUUUCUGCAUAAAUGCAUUGCUAAUGUAUAUGUAAUGCUGGUUGGGAAGAAUUCAGAAAUGUCGGUGGAAGACUACGAUUCAUUCACUCAUGAUUUAGUCAGGGUUGAUAGCUGAGUGAAAAAUAAAUGGUUAGUAGUUGAGCUGAGUAGUUAGUUGCUUGGUUGCCUUUCAGGUGCUGCUCUUUGUUGAGUCUUACACAUGCAAACAGAUUACCAAAUUGAAAAGGAAUAGUGUAAAUAACAGCAUAAAACUGCAAGAUUUUUGCAGGGACAAUGUUUUAGUAUAAUCUGUAUGCAACUGAAAUAUCAAAAUGACCUUUUGUUUCUCCAGCAGUAUUAGAAAGAGAGGAGGUAGAGUCUGCACAACUUUCAUUCUAAUCAUCCUUUUCUGUAAGAUAAUCUCUGGUUUUCUACACUUUCUUUCAGAGAUAAAUUGCAAAUACCUGAGCAGCCCAGACUACUGCCUAACACAGAUGGGAUUUUGAUUUCAGCACUGUUUUUUUCCCAGCAUCUUUUCAUAACUUGAUGACAUUUCUCCAUUCAUCUAUUAUUCAUGUAUGUUCUUCUCCCACAUCUACCUGAAGUGUUAUCUGUAACUUAAGCACUUGGAACUGAUAACUGCAUUUAUCACAACCAUCACUCUCGUAUGUUUCAGUAGUAAAGGAUAUUGUAACCUAAAGUGAGCCUAGCCUAGGUUGCAAGUGGGCAAUAAAAAGGCCUGAUUUGA